This is a long non-coding RNA of Clupea harengus (Atlantic herring), 1144 nucleotides long. NCBI's taxonomy places the organism in Eukaryota, Metazoa, Chordata, Actinopteri, Clupeiformes, Clupeidae. The record is from Ensembl.
CUGAAGGAAAUACCAGUGCAUGAAAUGCAAAAGUUAAGAAAGGAAGAAGAAAAAAAAGAAGAGUGAAAGAAGGAAAGAAGAAAGGAAAGAAGAGUGAAGAAAAGAAAAAAGAGUGGAAGAAGGAAAGAAGAGUGGAAGAAGGAAAGAAUAAAGGAAAGAAGAGUGAAGAAAGGAAAGAAGAAAAGAAAGAAGAGUGAAAGAAGGAAAGAAGAAAGGAAAGAAGAGUGAAGAAAGGAAAGAAGAGUGGAAGAAGAAAAGAAAGAAGGAAAGAAUAAAGGAAAGAAGAGUAAAACAAGGAAAGAAGAGUGGAACGAAGGAAAGAAGAGUGGAAGAAUGAAAGAAGAAAGGAAAGAAGAGUGAAGAAAGGAAAGAAGAGUGGAAGAAGGAAAGAAUAAAGGAAAGAAGAGUGAAGAAAGGAAGAAAAGAAAGAAGAGUGAAAGAAGGAAAGAAGAAAGGAAAGAAGAGUGAAGAAAGGAAAGGAGUGGAAGAAGGAAAGAAGAAAAGAAAGAAGAGUGAAAGAAGGAAAGAAGAAAGGAAAGAAGAGUGGAAGAAGGAAAGAAGAAAGGAAAGGAGUGGAAGAAGGAAAGAAAAAAGGAAAGGAGUGGAAGAAGGAAAGAAGAAGGGAAGAAGGAAAGAAGAAAAGAAAGAAGAGUGAAGAAAGGAAAGAAGAAAAAAAAGAAAAGUGAAAGAAGGAAAGAAGAGUGAAAGCAGGAAAGAAAAGUGGAAGAAGGAAAGAAGAGUGAAGAAAGGAAAGAAGAAUGGAAGAAUGAAAGAAGAAAGGAAAGAAGUGGAAGAAGGAAAGAAGAAAGGAAAGAAUAGUGAAGAAAGGAAAGAAGAGUGGAAGAAGGAAAGAAGAAAGAAAAGAAGAGUGGAAGAAGGAAAGAAGAGAGAGUGAAGAGGGAAAAUAUUGAAAGAAGGAGAGAAAAUGGAGUGAAGCAGAGAGAUGGAGUGUGAGAGAAAGUAGAGUGAGAGGGAUAGAGAGAAAGAUAGAGAGAAAAAAAAGUAGAGUAUGGAAGGUGUCUCUUAAUAUUCCUAGUUAUACAGUUGAAUGGAGAGGGACAGAGAGAAGAGGAGCCUUGGAACCUUGGCGCAGGUGUCAGUGAAGCACAGGUGCAAGCCAGUUUAAUGACCCUAUUAUGAUGUC